AAAACAUUUUCCUCUUCUCUCUCUAAGUUAAACUUAGAGAGAGAAGCUCUCCCUUCUCUCUAAAAGUCCCGCCGGCGGACAUGAGUGGUGGUGGUGGUUCCGGCGCGGCGGCCGGCCGGUUUCCGGCGGCGGCGCCACCGCGCCGGAAAAAUCAAACUUAAUUUUUUUUCAAAAUUUUACAUCAAAAGUUCCGUCACCACCUCCUCUACUCAAAUCCGGUGCUAGUUUUAAAAAGGGGUGAGAGAUUCGUCGUAGAUCUACACUUGAACUUUCGGAAUUUUUUCACUCUUUUUGUAAAAAAGCUUACGGAUCUAGAUAUCCUUUUCGCUCUAGAGUCCGAAUCCGGCCUCAAAAUUUCAAAAAUCCGAACGUACAAGCUUAGAUCUACAAAUCUUGAUUCGUAACAAACUUUUCACAUGUGUAUAUGCGCGAAAACGAGGGAAAAAAGUGUUACCGUCGUCGUGAAACGGAGGAAAAAUCCGAGCCUCCUCUUCUCUCCGCCGCGCGCGCGCGUUAUGCUCCGGUGGUGCCGCUUUUGCUCGAAAAUCCGGUACGGAUUUGGUGUUGGUGUGAUGAUUCGUGGUGGUUUUGAAUGAUUCCGGUUCGGAUUUGUUGAUUUUGUGAUGAUUUGAGUUGGUUUUGAGUGAAUCCGGUUCGGAUUUGUUGAUUUUGUGAAGAUUUGUUCUUGGUGUUCUUGGAGAAUUUUUGGUGAUUUUCUGUUUUGGAUCUAACUGAUUUUGGAGAGAGAAAGAAAUUUCUGUUUUUGUGAUGUGACUGAUUCUUUUUUUUUUUAUUUGGAUCUGACACAUCUAUUUAUAGCAUGCCAUGUGUAUUUGUGGGCCAAUGAGAAAAUGCCAUCUGGACUGGGACUGAAGUGUGCGAAAAUUCUGGACAAAAAUGCCCCUGGGACCUUUUCUGCAAAAAAAAUAAUAAAAAAAAGACUGGACAGCAAUUAAAAAAUGGACAAAAAAUAAAAAUUAAAAAGUUUUGGACUAAAUUGUGAUUUAAAAAUAAAAUUGAACUAAAAAAAGUAAUUUUGACAAACGUAAAGUGAAACUAAAAUUAAAAUCAACAAAAGGACUAAAACGAACCAAUUACAAAAAUGAGGUAUUUUAAAAUACCUCUCUGCCGAAAUUUUGACAGGAAAAGACCAAAAUGCCCCUAGGGACUAAACUGACUCAGAUGCAAUUUUUUUGAAAUGAUUUUUAAACAAAGACUCAACAAUAA
This 1227-nucleotide long non-coding RNA is filed under the name Medicago truncatula (barrel medic). Its description in RNAcentral is "lncRNA gene49858". Lineage: Eukaryota; Viridiplantae; Streptophyta; Magnoliopsida; Fabales; Fabaceae. The record is from RNAcentral.